RNAcentral lists this ribosomal RNA (1693 nucleotides) under Enneapterygius etheostoma. Its description in RNAcentral is "16S rRNA". It matches the Rfam family "Bacterial large subunit ribosomal RNA". Lineage: Eukaryota; Metazoa; Chordata; Actinopteri; Blenniiformes; Tripterygiidae. The record is from RNAcentral.
UGCUUAAACGCUAGCUUAAUUCCACCCCUAACCUAACAAUACCCCUACCCCCUGAUGCUUUAUGCAAUUAAACUAAACCAUUCUCCCUCUUUAGUACAGGCGAUGGAAAAAGAACUAUAAGCAAUAGAAAGAGUACCGCAAGGGAAAGCUGAAAAAGAAAUGAAACAAACCUCUAAAGCGCGAGAAAGCAAAGAUCAGCCCUUGUACCUUUUGCAUCAUGAAUUAGCCAGAAAUUAAUCAAGCAAAGGGAUCUUUAGUUUGAGACCCCGAAACCUGGCGAGCUACCUCAGAGCAGCCUAAAUACAGGGCACACCCGUUUCUGUGGCAAAAGAAUGGGGAGACUCUCAGGUAGAGGUGAUAAGCCUACCGAGCCUGGUUAUAGCUGGUUGCCCGUGAACUGGAUAGGAGUUCAGCCCUUUUAAUUCUCGAUACCCCCUUGGUAUAUCCUUACAACGUCUAAGGAGAAGUAAAAGGAGUUACUCAAGAGGGGGACAGCUCUCUUGAGAUAAGACACAACUUUUUUGAUUGGGUAAAGACCAUAAUAGCUAAGGUAAAACACAUUAGUAGGCCUAAAAGCAGCCAUCUUAUCAGAAAGCGUUAAAGCUCAAGUGUUCCUAGCGCCUUGGAUACUGGUAAAUAUUUCUUAACCCUUCAAGCCUUAUCGGGCCAUUCCAUUUUUAACUAUGGAAGAGAUAAUGCUAGUAUGAGUAACGUGAGGUUGAGCACCUCUCCUGGCACAAGCAUACCUCGGAACGGACUAACCCCCGAACUUUAACGGCUCCACUAUUGAGGACACUGCACAUCUAAAACUAUAACAAGAAAACCCUUCACUGCUAACCGUUAACCUUACACUAGAGUGCCUUUAAAGGAAAGACUAAAAGGGAAAGAAGGAACUCGGCAAACCCCAGCCUCGCCUGUUUACCAAAAACAUCGCCUCUUGCAUUUCUAGUAUAAGAGGUCCCGCCUGCCCUGUGACACACGUUUAACGGCCGCGGUAUUCUGACCGUGCAAAGGUAGCGCAAUCACUUGUCUUUUAAAUAGAGACCUGUAUGAAUGGCACAACGAGGGCUUAACUGUCUCCUUUCCCCAGUCCAUGAAAUUGAUCUUUCCGUGCAGAAGCGGAAAUUCUAACAUAAGACGAGAAGACCCUGUGGAGCUUCAGACACCAAGGCAGCCCCCCCCCUACCAAAGCUUGAUUAACAGCUCACACCCUAUGGCCAUUCCCCUGCCUUAUUGUCUUUGGUUGGGGCGACCGCGGAGUAACAUUAAACCUCCACGAGGACUGGAAACUCUUCCAUUCUACAACCCAGAGCACCCGCUCUAAGCAACAGAACUUCUGACCAAAACCGAUCCGGCGAUUUGCCGAUCAACGAAUCCAGUUACCCCAGGGAUAACAGCGCAAUCCUCUUCUAGAGCCCAUAUCGACAAGGGGGUUUACGACCUCGAUGUUGGAUCAGGACAUCCUAAUGGUGCAACCGCUAUUAAGGGUUCGUUUGUUCAACGAUUAACAGUCCUACGUGAUCUGAGUUCAGACCGGAGUAAUCCAGGUCAGUUUCUAUCUAUGCCGUGCUUUUUUCUAGUACGAAAGGACCGAAAAAAGGGGGCCAAUGUCUCAAGGCACGCCCCAUCCCUACCCUCUGACACCCACUAAAGAGGGUAAUGAGACACCCGUCUCCGCCAUAAAAUACGGCUU